Nycticebus coucang (slow loris) is the source of this 2100-nucleotide long non-coding RNA. RefSeq lists it as uncharacterized. NCBI's taxonomy places the organism in Eukaryota, Metazoa, Chordata, Mammalia, Primates, Lorisidae. The record is from RefSeq and is a predicted model, not a curated record. The transcript is spliced from 3 exons.
AAGUUUCACCGCCAGAAUCUGCAGACUUUACCUGCUCCUCCUUUCACAUCUGCUGGCCCGCGUACUUUUGGGGGAAGAGGGGACCGUGAGUUGUUUGCUUUUGCUUCCCCAAAACUCAAUAUGGAAUUCCUUCUCCAGGAAAGUCUGGAUCUAUGCAUGUGUGACAGCCCACGGGAGGCUGCUUAUGGAGGUGAGGCCUGUGAGCGUGGAGGAGCCUUGGAAAGAGACGUGAUGGAGAGUGACGAAGAGGAUCCGGCCACCUGUAACUGUCAGCCAAAUGCAGAGACCGGGAUUAGGCUCACCAAGCUUUAUUGUCAGAGGCCAGGAGUUCUGGUGAACAGCAAGAGUAGUCUCUCCAUUCUGAACUACCUCAGAAUCUUGAAGACAAUCAGUGCAACAUUAUUAAUUUGAAUGACGGAAAUACAACGCACACAAGUGAAGGGUGUAAAGGUGAAAAUGGUGGUCCUGGAGAUGAGCCUCAGAGGAGCUGUUUAGGCCAGGUUUAUUGAAAGGGGAGGGUGACCCACCUGGGCAGUGCAAAGAUGGUGUGUGCACCUGGGGGCAGUUAGAGACCACUUUUAUAUGUGGCUGUGGGAGGUGGGCGCAUUCUACAGCUUUCCUGUCAGGUUAUGGUCUUUUGGUAAGAACUUCUGGGGGGUGGAGCUAGCCAGAUCCUUUGUGUCUUUGUUUUAGGACGAGAGAAGGGGGAGGAGGAGAAAAGGGUUUGUGCGGAUCUGCUUUAGGUCCCCCAACAACAAGGAUUUCAAUCAAAAGAUAAUUCAUAUACCAGAGCAGUAAUAACAACAAAGAGCCUAUUCCAUUAUGGAGUCAACUAAAAGGAUUAUGAAGGAAAUUAAAACCUGUUUUUUCUUUAGGACUUCUUGUAGCCAGGAAAUAAUUUGAGAUUUAGUCUAAAUUGCAGGCAAAUAAUAAAAAUUCAAAAACAAUGGUUAGGGCUAGAAUCUAAUAAUGGGUGUACUAUAGUUUUCUCCAGAAACAUAAUUUCUCUCUAGUUUCCCUAUUUUUAUCAAGGAUAAAUCACGUUAGAACCAAUUGAUUUGCAAAAUAAAUUUUAGUCCCGUUAUAUUAUCCUUGGCCUAAAUACGGGCAGUCCUGGGGUUAUGGAUGACCUGACUUAUGGCAUUCUGUACUUGUGAAUGGGCUCCCCAUAAGGAUAAUUUAUAAAUAAAUAAAUGAAUAACUCAGGAUCUGGUUUCUUCCAUGCAUGUAAGCAAAUCCACAUGGCAUAAGCAGUUCAUUGGCUCCACAUCUCUAGCAUCUAGUCCUAUAGAUAGAUAGAGAAGCAGCUGAUAGAAACACAAGAACACAAAGAAUCAGAAGAUCCAGAGUUGAGAAAGUUUAUGACAAAAGAAUUAGCUGAAGCCUUUCCUUUCCUUGAAGCAGGGUUUGCUAAGCUUGAGGAGCAAGAUUCUAACAUUGGGUGGAUUACAAAAACUUACCAUGUAGUCAGUGAGAACAUCAGCUGCUCCAAUGGCAUUUAUGAUGAAAAAAAGGAAAAGGCCGUGCAAACAACCCUAGAUACCUUUUUCAAGAAACCAACUUCAGAGGUAAGUUCUCCUCUUCCAACAAAAGAAUCAAAUCCUGAUUCUUUAGCACCCAUGCCAUCCUCUCCAGCAUCAUCUUCUGAUUAAUGUCAGCCUACCUUCUUUUUUUAAAAAUUAUUUUUUAUUCAAUCAUAACUUUGUACAUUGAUGCAUUUAUGGGGUUCAGGGUACUGCUUUGAUAUACAAUGUGAAAUGUCAGGCUACCUUCUUGUCUCAGAAAUGCCCCUUCCAGGGUGGUGCCUGUGGCUCAGUCGGUUAGGCACCGGCCCCAUAUACCGAGGGUGGCGGGUUCAAACCCAGCCCUGGCCAAACUGCAACCAAAAAAUAGCCGGGCGUUGUGGCGGGCGCCUGUAGUCCCAGCUGCUCGGGAGGCUGAGGCAAUAGAAUCGCGUGAGCCCAAGAGUUAGAGGUUGCUGUGAGCUGUGUGACGCCACGGCACUCUACCCGAGGGUGGUACAGUGAGACUCUGUCUCUACAAAAAAUAAAUAAAUAAAUAAAUAAUAAUAAUAAUAAUAAAAUUAAAAAAAAAAAAGUU